This 274-nucleotide ribosomal RNA is filed under the name uncultured bacterium. RNAcentral's name for it is "partial 16S ribosomal RNA". It matches the Rfam family "Bacterial small subunit ribosomal RNA", at positions 523 to 796 of the family's 1533-position model. The record is from RNAcentral.
AUACGGAGGGGACAAGCGUUAUUCGGAAUCACUGGGCGUAAAGGACGCGUAGGCGGGUUAUUAAGUCGGGUGUGAAAUCCAAUGGCUCAACCAUUGAACUGCAUUCGAAACUGAUAACCUAGAGUAUGGAAGGGGCAGGUGGAAUUAGUGGUGUAGGGGUAAAAUCCGUAGAUAUCACUAGGAAUACCGAAAGCGAAGGCGACCUGCUGGGACAUUACUGACGCUGAGGCGUGAAAGCGUGGGGAGCAAACAGGAUUAGAAACCCUGGUAGUCC